GUUAAGGGUUCGUAGUUGAAUUGGGGGCUGACCGAGUAAACGGUGGCGCCGUUGCCCUGUUCGGGGCGUGCCAACCACCGUUCUCGCAGCUCGAGAACAUUCGAAACAAUUAUCACGGGUCGUUAUCCACCCAUCUUUACGCGUACAAUGUAUGCAGGGGGACGCCCGUGUUUAUUACUGUGCAAAAGAAGGGUGACCAAAGCAGUCAUUCGACGUGAAUUAGAAAGCAUGGGAUACAAAGGAGCGGCCUACGGGCUUCCAUUUUGGCUUUUGUUGGUUUUAAAAGUCUGUGGGAGUUGUGGACCCGCAAGAUCAGGCGGCGACACACAGUGUCUCGUCUUCUGUGGUUGGCGCAGCCUUCUGCAGACUUGUGUGGUCCAGGAAUGAAGGAGGGUUGUUCGGGGGAGAACGUACUUGGCGUGAGAGGUGAAAUUCAUAGACCGCUCAAAGACGAACUACAGCGAAGGCAUUCUCCAGGAUACCUUCCUCAAUCAAGAACCAAAGUGUGGAGAUCGAAGAUGAUUAGAUACCUUGUAGUCC
RNAcentral lists this ribosomal RNA (540 nucleotides) under uncultured kinetoplastid. RNAcentral's name for it is "bacterial SSU rRNA". It matches the Rfam family "Eukaryotic small subunit ribosomal RNA", at positions 622 to 1026 of the family's 1831-position model. The record is from RNAcentral. Lineage: Eukaryota; Euglenozoa; Kinetoplastea.